UUGCGGUGAUGACUUUCUUAGGACACCUUUGGAUUCAACGUGAAAAGAAAUCAGUUUUCUGAGCGAU
Small nucleolar RNA from Anser brachyrhynchus (Pink-footed goose), 67 nucleotides. Its record names the gene SNORD58. It matches the Rfam family "Small nucleolar RNA SNORD58". Rfam says of the family: snoRNA U58 is found in introns 1, 3 and 6 of the ribosomal protein RPL17 gene in humans. U58 is a member of the C/D class of snoRNA which contain C (UGAUGA) and D (CUGA) box motifs. Most of the members of the box C/D family function in directing site-specific 2'-O-methylation of substrate RNAs. The record is from Ensembl. Lineage: Eukaryota; Metazoa; Chordata; Aves; Anseriformes; Anatidae.